Molecule: long non-coding RNA, 268 nt
Organism: Cygnus olor (mute swan)
Lineage: Eukaryota; Metazoa; Chordata; Aves; Anseriformes; Anatidae
Exons: 4
Source: RefSeq, a predicted model, not a curated record
UGUAAAGGGACCCUGGCGUGCAUAUUUACAUCCUUGAUCGUAGUAGCAGGAGUUUUGACAGCCGUUGGUUGUUGCGUUAUCCCCUGUGUAAAAGGACUAGUACAGCGGUUAAUUGAAACUGCACUAUUGAAACAAAUGACCAUGGAGCCACCACCUUACUCAGAUAAGGUGAUGAUAUUAGAGGAGAUGGAAAGCAAAGAAGGUGAAGAAGAGGAAGAUAUCUACCAAAUUACACCUUAGAGAAAAGUUUUGCAAAAAUCAACAAUUU